RNAcentral lists this ribosomal RNA (610 nucleotides) under Leptolyngbya sp. MGCY460. RNAcentral describes it as "bacterial SSU rRNA". It matches the Rfam family "Bacterial small subunit ribosomal RNA", at positions 114 to 758 of the family's 1533-position model. Lineage: Bacteria; Bacillati; Cyanobacteriota; Cyanophyceae; Leptolyngbyales; Leptolyngbyaceae. The record is from RNAcentral.
CGCGUGAGAAUCUGCCCAUAGGAUAGGGACAACAGUUGGAAACGACUGCUAAUACCUGAUGUGCCGAGAGGUGAAACUUAUAUGGCCUGUGGAUGAGCUCGCGUCUGAUUAGCUAGUUGGUGGGGUAAAGGCUCACCAAGGCGACGAUCAGUAGCUGGUCUGAGAGGAUGAUCAGCCACACUGGAACUGAGACACGGUCCAGACUCCUACGGGAGGCAGCAGUGGGGAAUUUUCCGCAAUGGGCGAAAGCCUGACGGAGCAAGACCGCGUGGGGGAUGAAGGUUUGUGGAUUGUAAACCCCUUUUGAUUGGGAAGAAUAACUGACGGUACCAAUCGAAUAAGCCUCGGCUAACUCCGUGCCAGCAGCCGCGGUAAUACGGAGGAGGCAAGCGUUAUCCGGAAUUAUUGGGCGUAAAGCGUCCGUAGGUGGUUUAGUAAGUCUGCUGUUAAAGCGCGGGGCUUAACUCCGUAUCGGCAGUGGAAACUACUAGACUAGAGUGUGGUAGGGGUAGAGGGAAUUCCCAGUGUAGCGGUGAAAUGCGUAGAUAUUGGGAAGAACACCGGUGGCGAAGGCGCUCUACUGGGCCAUAACUGACACUGAUGGACGAAA